CUAGUCGGGGCUGUGGGACGUUUUCUAAAGGAGGUAUUCAGUGUGUUCUCUUGUGGAUUAUAGGAUUAGGGUUGUUAUGGUCCAUGUAGUGUCCAGCGGUGCAGGAGGAGGUUCCUACAGUAUAGAAUCCACUAAGUGGAUAUCUUCUAUGUAAGAUCCUUCUCCUAAUUGACCCAUCAACGAUGGAUAAGGACAGGGACAAGAUGGCGGAGAGUAUAAUAAAUCUCACCCUAGAGAUCCUCUUCCGGCUUACUGGAGAGGACUACACAGUAGUGAAGAAGGCCUCUAGUGAGAGCUGUCAGGACCCCCUAAUACAUGAGGAAUUUAAUAGAGAGAAGAUCCUAGAACUCACCAACAAGAUGAUUGAGCUGCUGACUGGAGAGGUUCCUAUAAGGUGUCAGGAUGUCACAGUCUAUUUCUC
Molecule: long non-coding RNA, 421 nt
Organism: Bufo bufo (common toad)
Lineage: Eukaryota; Metazoa; Chordata; Amphibia; Anura; Bufonidae
Exons: 4
Source: RefSeq, a predicted model, not a curated record